RNAcentral lists this ribosomal RNA (338 nucleotides) under uncultured Anaerolineaceae bacterium. RNAcentral describes it as "bacterial SSU rRNA". It matches the Rfam family "Bacterial small subunit ribosomal RNA", at positions 1031 to 1382 of the family's 1533-position model. The record is from RNAcentral. Lineage: Bacteria; Bacillati; Chloroflexota; Anaerolineae; Anaerolineales; Anaerolineaceae.
UAUACAGGUGUUGCAUUGGCUGUCGUCAGCUCGUGUCGUGAGAUGUUCGGUUAAGUCCGCUAACGAGCGCAACCCUCGUCGUAUGUUAUAUGUGUCAUACGAGACUGCCGGUAAAAAGCCGGAGGAAGGUGAGGAUGAUGUCAAGUCAGCAUGACCUUUAUAUCCAGGGCUACACACACGCUACAAUGGUCUGUACAAUGGGUAGCCAAGCCGCGAGGCGGAGCCAAUCCUGAAAGCAGGCCUCAGUUCAGAUUGCAGUCUGCAACUCGACUGCAUGAAGCCGGAGUUGCUAGUAACCGCAGGUCAGCAAUACUGCGGUGAAUACGUUCCCGGGUCUU